AUUGGAGCAAAAGAAUCAGCGGAUGAGCCAGAAACUGCGGGCAAAGCCAGACGGCGCUGCCGUAGGAGAAACCAAAAAUCGCCUCCGAUGAGUCCCUUCCCGAUUCUCAUUUUGUACAAAUUUUUCACCAUUGUAUUCACCAUUUUUUUUCUAUAGUUUGACCGAAGAAAUAGCCCAACCACGAAGGUGAUCUAGCGGAGCCGUCGCACUAAAAAAUUUUACCGCCAGUAAGUUUUUGUUUUUUGA
This 246-nucleotide long non-coding RNA is filed under the name Carica papaya (papaya). RNAcentral's name for it is "long non-coding RNA (CPAP_LNC002231)". Lineage: Eukaryota; Viridiplantae; Streptophyta; Magnoliopsida; Brassicales; Caricaceae. The record is from RNAcentral.